AUGCAAUCAUCCAACUUAAUAACUUGUGGAAAAACUAAGGAUUAAUUAGUGCAAUUCACGGUUAAUUUGGGGCGUUGAGUAUUUAUAAUUUAUUGGAAGAACAACUGAAAAUCGUUUUGUUUGCAAGUGUGACAUGUGUGGAGAAGAACCUCCUAACUAACCUUUUAUCCAUCCUUUUCAUCCAAAAACGUUCUACAAUCUGCUUAGUUUUAAGUUUCUGUUUUGUUUUCAAUUUUCGUCCAAAACAAAUCCUCCUUUAUUUUGAAGUCUUAGAUUAGUUAGAAUAUGUUUUGAUUUGUGUUUCUAAGUGUUUUGAUUCAAGUUUUCACCCAAAUUCGUCCAAGUUCUUGUUAGGUUCUCAAAACUGCCCAGAAAGUGGUUUUAGGCAGUUUUGAGUCAUUAGGUUGCUGUUUUGAGUUUUAUGUUUGUUCAAGUGUUUUAAACUUUAGUUUUGCAUUCUUUGAGUCUAGUUUAGUGUUUUAAACUUUGUUUUUAUGUUUUUAAGUCAGUUUUCAAGUGUUUAGCAAUCCCUCCUAAUCCCCGGUCUAGAACGAUCCCUACUUACAUCUUUACUACAAUUUGACAAAAAGAGGGUUUAAUUUGUGUGCUUAUCUAUUUCGCACCAAAUUUUUGGCGCCGUUGCCGGGGAUUAGCAAUUUUGCUAAUCCCUUGGAUUGUUUUUGUUUCUUUUAUUUCACUUUGUUUCUGACUUUGUUUAAGUUUCUGACCUAAUUUUGUUUCUUGUUUCUUAGGUACUAAUGUAUGACUAGAAGCUCUCAACCGAUUCGUGCAAACAUCUUGGAUUUUGACGACGAUUUUGAGAGGAAUUUAAGAAGAGCUAGAAACCAGCAAGAACACCAUCCACCCAAUUCCGAAUCUGACCUUGAAGAAAACGUACAAGAAGAGGAGGAGGAAGCCACGGCAGGGAUAUUUGAAGAAGUCCAAGGCAUGGCCAUGGACAAUCGUACACUCAAGGAGCUUUCCGCCUCGGGUUUGGAUAAUGCCGCACCCUUGUGCAUCCAAUACCCCGUGGCUGCCCAAGGUAAGACGGACGAGUUUGAAUUAAAGUCAAGUUUGCUUCAUCAUAUUCCUAAAUACCAUGGCUUGUCCAUGGAAGAUCCUAACAAACAUUUGAAAGAAUUUGAAAGUAGUUUGCUCUAGUAUGACUCCCGUCAAUGUUGACGGAAAUAUCUUGAAGAUGAAGGCUUUUCCAUUCUCUUUGAUGGAUAAAGCCAAGGAUUGGUUAUACGAGUUAGCUCCCGGCACUGUCACUUCUUGGGAGAGUAUGAAGAGAGCGUUCUUGGAGAAGUUCUUUCCAACUUCUCGCAUCAAUCCUCCUACGCAAAAAGAUAAGCGGAAUUUAGCAAGAAGAAGGUGAGUCUUUUCCUACAUAUUAUGAACGAUUUAAAUCACUUGUUGCUUCUUGUCCACAGCAUCAGAUGAAGGAGGAAUUGCUCUUGCAAUAUUUCUACGAGGGCCUCCUACCUCUAGAACGUCAAAUGCUUGAUGCUUCGGCGGGGGAGCAUUGGUGGAUAAAACACCCAUGGCUGCCAAGGUCUUGAUUGCUAAUAGAGCGUUGAACGCUCAACAGUACGAGGGUGUAGGCCAAAGAGGACCCUCACGGCACCAAGUACAUGAGGUAAGUGCGACUUCCGAUCUUCAUUCACAAUUGGCUAAUCUUACUUCUAUUGUUUCACAGAUGGCCGAGGGAAUGAAGAUGCAAGGACCUGUGGUAUGUGGCCUAUGUUCUAUCCAAGGACAUGUCUCCGAAAAAUGUCCUCAACUCAUCGAGAAUGGCGGAUGGGAGAGUGCGAAUGCCAUUGGGUUUUAAAGCCAAAAUUAGUCAAGACACGAUCCAUACUCCUCCACGUAUAAUCCGGGGUGGCGAGACCACCCAAAUUUCAAGUGGAGGGAUCCCCAACAACCUCAAAACCAAGGAGGCUUUAGGCAACAACCCCCGGGGUUCUUUCCCAAAACCUACGGCCCACCCCAAAAUCAAGCCCAAUCCGGCCCAAGUGCCUCAGGUACAUCUCUUGACAAUGAUGCACUUCUUAAGAUACUAACUAAGUUAUCUAAUGGGCAGGAAGAUCAAGCUAAGGCUAUGCAAAACCAAGAUAAAAGGGUGGAUCAACUUGAGAAACAAAUUGGGCAGAUUGCCGAGUUUGUAGGUAAGUUUCGAGAUCCCGGACAACUUCCUAGUGCCACCAUACCUUGUGCCGCUGCAAGAAGGAAGAAGGAGUGCUCUUGAAUGUGCUUGCUAGUCUAUUGCAGAUUGCUGGAACUUUUAGGUGUAAUCUUUCUUAUGUUUUCAAUGUUUCAAUUCAAUAAACUUUGUGUUGUGAGUAUGAGGAACUAAACCCCCUUAGUUGGGGGGUGAUUCGAAACCAUGUACAUGCUUGCAAUAUGAUUUGAUUACAUUCAGUUGUUAUUUCAUAAGUUGUGGAUUCAAUUCGUUCAUCUACUUGAUUGAUAACUCAUUUGUGUAUGUUGAUUGAGAGUGCACGCUUAGUUUUCAUGCAUGAAUAUGAUGCUAGAUUAUGAGGGAGUUUCACCUAAUAGUUUACAAUCUUAUAAUCACAAGUAGUGAAGGUCGCUUGAAAACGAUCGCGUUGAAUGAAUUCUUGGCACUAGUUUCAUGCUCAUCAUAGUGACGAAUGCCUCAUCAACAACUUUAUAGUUCUCAUUUGUGCUUCAUGAUUCUUGAUUGUAUCUUUAUUGUGCUCAUUACGUAAGGAACCUUUGAGGAAUGCUUUGAAUUGUUGUAUGCGUUUUCCCAUCCAAUUCAUUAACUUAAGGAGAACUUGAAGGUUAAUUUAAGCGUAUCUAAUUAAUUUGGGGUGUUGAGUUUCAUAAUUUAUUGGAAGAACAAUUGAAAAUCGUUUUGUUUGCAAGUGUGACAUGUGUGGAGAAGAACCUCCUAACUAGCCUUUUAUCCAUCCUUUUCAUCCAAAAACGUCUUACAAUCUGUUUUGUUUUCAAAUUUCGUCCAAAACAAAUCCCCCUUUAUUUUGAAGUCUUAGAUUAGUUAGAAAGUGUUUUGAUUUGUGUUUCUAAGUGUUUUGAUCCAAGUUUUCAUCCAACUUCGUCCAAGUUCUUGUUAGGUUCUCAAAACUGCCCAGAAAGUGGUUUUUAGGCAGUUUUGAGUCAUUAGGUUGCUGUUUUGAGUUUUAUGUUUGUUUAAGUGUUUUAACUUUUAAUUUUACGUUCUUUGAGUCUAGUUUAGUGUUUUAAACUUCGUUUUUACGUUAUUGAGUUAGUUUUCAAGAGUUUAGCAAUCCCUCCUAAUCCCCGGUUUAGAACGAUCCCUACUUACAUCUUUACUACAAUUUGACAAAAGAGGGUUUAAUUUGUGUGCUUAUCUAUUUACGCAUCAAAUUUUUGGUGCCGUUGCCGGGGAUUAGCAAUUUUGCUAAUCCCUUGGAUUGUUUUUGUUUCUUUUAUUUUACUUUGCUUCAGAUUUUAUUUUAGUUUCUGACCUAUUUUGUUUCUUGUUUCUUAGGUACUAGUUUAUGACUAGAAGCUCUCAAACGGUUCGUGCAAACAUCUUGGACUUUGACGACGACUUUGAGAGGAAUUUGAGAAGAGCGAGAAACCAGCAAGAACACAAUUCACCCAAUUCCGAAUCUGACCUUGAAGAAAACGUACAAGAAGA
Molecule: long non-coding RNA, 3652 nt
Filed under: Malus domestica (apple)
Lineage: Eukaryota; Viridiplantae; Streptophyta; Magnoliopsida; Rosales; Rosaceae
Description: long non-coding RNA (MDOM_LNC020961)
Source: RNAcentral